This 935-nucleotide ribosomal RNA is filed under the name Escherichia coli. RNAcentral describes it as "partial 23S ribosomal RNA". It matches the Rfam family "Bacterial large subunit ribosomal RNA", at positions 352 to 1291 of the family's 2925-position model. Lineage: Bacteria; Pseudomonadati; Pseudomonadota; Gammaproteobacteria; Enterobacterales; Enterobacteriaceae. The record is from RNAcentral.
GCGCGAUACAGGGUGACAGCCCCGUACACAAAAAUGCACAUACUGUGAGCUCGAUGAGUAGGGCGGGACACGUGGUAUCCUGUCUGAAUAUGGGGGGACCAUCCUCCAAGGCUAAAUACUCCUGACUGACCGAUAGUGAACCAGUACCGUGAGGGAAAGGCGAAAAGAACCCCGGCGAGGGGAGUGAAAAAGAACCUGAAACCGUGUACGUACAAGCAGUGGGAGCCUCUUAAUGGGGUGACUGCGUACCUUUUGUAUAAUGGGUCAGCGACUUAUAUUCUGUAGCAAGGUUAACCGAAUAGGGGAGCCGAAGGGAAACCGAGUCUUAACUGGGCGUUAAGUUGCAGGGUAUAGACCCGAAACCCGGUGAUCUAGCCAUGGGCAGGUUGAAGGUUGGGUAACACUAACUGGAGGACCGAACCGACUAAUGUUGAAAAAUUAGCGGAUGACUUGUGGCUGGGGGUGAAAGGCCAAUCAAACCGGGAGAUAGCUGGUUCUCCCCGAAAGCUAUUUAGGUAGCGCCUCGUGAAUUCAUCUCCGGGGGUAGAGCACUGUUUCGGCAAGGGGGUCAUCCCGACUUACCAACCCGAUGCAAACUGCGAAUACCGGAGAAUGUUAUCACGGGAGACACACGGCGGGUGCUAACGUCCGUCGUGAAGAGGGAAACAACCCAGACCGCCAGCUAAGGUCCCAAAGUCAUGGUUAAGUGGGAAACGAUGUGGGAAGGCCCAGACAGCCAGGAUGUUGGCUUAGAAGCAGCCAUCAUUUAAAGAAAGCGUAAUAGCUCACUGGUCGAGUCGGCCUGCGCGGAAGAUGUAACGGGGCUAAACCAUGCACCGAAGCUGCGGCAGCGACACUAUGUGUUGUUGGGUAGGGGAGCGUUCUGUAAGCCUGUGAAGGUGUACUGUGAGGUAUGCUGGAGGUAUCAGAAGUGC